RNAcentral lists this ribosomal RNA (499 nucleotides) under uncultured bacterium. RNAcentral describes it as "bacterial SSU rRNA". It matches the Rfam family "Bacterial small subunit ribosomal RNA", at positions 899 to 1397 of the family's 1533-position model. The record is from RNAcentral.
ACUCAAAUGAAUUGACGGGGGCCCGCACAAGCAGCGGAGCAUGUGGUUUAAUUCGAAGCAACGCGAAGAACCUUACCAGGUCUUGACAUCGACGUAAAGCGUGUAGAGAUACACGUGGUCUUCGGACAACGGAAGACAGGUGGUGCAUGGUUGUCGUCAGCUCGUGUCGUGAGAUGUUGGGUUAAGUCCCGCAACGAGCGCAACCCUUGUCGUCAGUUACUAACGCGUAGAGGCGAGGACUCUGACGAGACUGCCGUGGACAACACGGAGGAAGGUGGGGACGAUGUCAAAUCAUCAUGCCCCUAAUGACCUGGGCUACACACGUGCUACAAUGGCCGUAACAAAGAGGAGCGAAGCCGCAAGGCGGAGCGGAUCUGAGAAAAGCGGUCUCAGUUCAGAUCGUGGGCUGCAACCCGCCCACGUGAAGUCGGAGUUGCUAGUAAUCGCGAAUCAGCAUGUCGCGGUGAAUACGUUCCCGGGCCUUGUACACACCGCCCGU